Molecule: ribosomal RNA, 466 nt
Filed under: uncultured bacterium
Lineage: Bacteria
Description: partial 16S ribosomal RNA
Rfam family: Bacterial small subunit ribosomal RNA
Source: RNAcentral
GACGAACGCUGGCGGCGCGCCUAACACAUGCAAGUCGAACGAGCGAGAGAGAGCUUGCUUUCUCAAGCGAGUGGCGAACGGGUGAGUAACGCGUGAGGAACCUGCCUCAAAGAGGGGGACAACAGUUGGAAACGACUGCUAAUACCGCAUAAGCCCACGACCCGCCAUCGGGUAGAGGGAAAAUGAGCAAUCCGCUUUGAGAUGGCCUCGCGUCCGAUUAGCUCGUUGGUGAGGUAACGGCCCACCAAGGCGACGAUCGGUAGCCGGACUGAGAGGUUGAACGGCCACAGUGGGACUGAGACACAGCCCAGACUCCUACGGGAGGCAGCAGUGGGGAAUAUUGCACAAUGGGGGAAACCCUGAUGCAGCGACGCCGGGUGGAGGAAGAAGGUCGUCGGAUAGUAAACUCCUGUUGUUGAGGAAGAUAAUGACGGUACUCAACAAGGAAGUGACGGCUAACUACGUG